UCAGGUGUGGAAUUUAGAUAGAGUGGGUGUGUGCUCUUGUUUAAUUACACCAAGAUCACCACCCUCUAUCCAUAUCCCACAAUUGA
Molecule: microRNA precursor, 86 nt
Organism: human gammaherpesvirus 4 (Epstein-Barr virus)
Lineage: Duplodnaviria; Heunggongvirae; Peploviricota; Herviviricetes; Herpesvirales; Orthoherpesviridae
Rfam family: mir-BART16 microRNA precursor family
Source: Rfam